This 467-nucleotide ribosomal RNA is filed under the name uncultured bacterium. Its description in RNAcentral is "partial 16S ribosomal RNA". It matches the Rfam family "Bacterial small subunit ribosomal RNA", at positions 30 to 507 of the family's 1533-position model. The record is from RNAcentral.
GCGCACGCUGGCGGCGUGCUUAACACAUGCAGGUCGAACGGAAAGGCCCUGCUUUUGUGGGGUGCUCGAGUGGCGAACGGGUGAGUAACACGUGAGUAACCUGCCCUUGACUUUGGGAUAACUUCAGGAAACUGGGGCUAAUACCGGAUAGGAGCUCCUGCUGCAUGGUGGGGGUUGGAAAGUUUCGGCGGUUGGGGAUGGACUCGCGGCUUAUCAGCUUGUUGGUGGGGUAGUGGCUUACCAAGGCUUUGACGGGUAGCCGGCCUGAGAGGGUGACCGGCCACAUUGGGACUGAGAUACGGCCCAGACUCCUACGGGAGGCAGCAGUGGGGAAUAUUGCACAAUGGGCGGAAGCCUGAUGCAGCAACGCCGCGUGCGGGAUGACGGCCUUCGGGUUGUAAACCGCUUUCGCCUGUGACGAAGCGUGAGUGACGGUAAUGGGUAAAGAAGCACCGGCUAACUACGUG